AAAGACUUGUUUAGUUGAUACAGAUGGAUAAGUGAUAAGGCACCUGGAAUUGGUUGAGUCUGUAGACGUUUGGAUCAGAGGAUAAGCAGCAAGGAUUAAGACAGGAGUUUGCAGUUUCAACCAUGCCUGAACAGUUACAUCUACAGUAAGCUAUCCAUUGGACAAUGGUAAACGAUUUGGUGGGCCCAUUGAUAUUUUUAGAUACAGGUAAGACGUUAAAGAACAGAUGUUGAGGGAUCAAACUGACUGUUAUACAUUAAAGUGUGGGAAUAGGGAUAAACUGAUCUUGUACAGUGGCAUUAGGUUGGAGGAGGAAGUGAAGCCCAUCUUCUGUCCUGAGGACGGGACAAAGGAAGAGCAUGAGGAUGAUAGCACCACCCCUGGUCUGGAGUGGACUUACCCAGGUUAA
This is a long non-coding RNA of Polypterus senegalus (gray bichir), 409 nucleotides long. RefSeq lists it as uncharacterized. The transcript has 3 exons. The record is from RefSeq and is a predicted model, not a curated record. Lineage: Eukaryota; Metazoa; Chordata; Cladistia; Polypteriformes; Polypteridae.